Oryza sativa Japonica Group (Japanese rice) is the source of this 205-nucleotide microRNA precursor. It matches the Rfam family "MIR812 microRNA precursor family". NCBI's taxonomy places the organism in Eukaryota, Viridiplantae, Streptophyta, Magnoliopsida, Poales, Poaceae. The record is from Rfam.
AAAAAGUCAAACCCUAUAUUUCCGUGUCCAACUUUAACUGUCCGUCUUAUAUGAAAUUUUUUUAUAAUUCGUAUUUUCAUUGUUGUUAGAUGAUAAAACAUGAUUAAUAUUUUAUGCGUGACUUGUCUUUUUAAUUUCUUUCAUAAUUUUUUCAAAUAAGACGGACGGUCAAACGUUGGACACGGAAACCAGGGUUUGUCUUUUU